GACGAACGCUGGCGGCGUGCUUAACACAUGCAAGUCGAACGGAAAGGCCCUGCUUUUGUGGGGUGCUCGAGUGGCGAACGGGUGAGUAACACGUGAGUAACCUGCCCUUGUCUUUGGGAUAACUUCAGGAAACUGGGGCUAUUACCGGAUAGGAGCUCCUGCUGCAUGGUGGGGGUUGGAAAGUUUCGGCGGUUGGGGCUGGACUCGCGGCUUAUCCGCUUGUUGGUGGGGUAGUGGCUUACCAAGGGUUUGACGGGUAGCCGGCAUGAGAGCGUGACCGGCCACAUUGGGACUGAGAUACGGCGCAGACGCCUACGGGAGGCAGUAGUGGAGAAUAUUGCACAAUGGGCGGAAGCCUGAUGCAGCAACGCCGCGUGCGGGAUGACGGCCUUCGGGUUGUAAACCGCUUUCGCCUGUGACGAAGCGUUAGUGACGGUAAUGGGUAAAGAAGCACCGGCUAACUACGUG
RNAcentral lists this ribosomal RNA (468 nucleotides) under uncultured bacterium. Its description in RNAcentral is "partial 16S ribosomal RNA". It matches the Rfam family "Bacterial small subunit ribosomal RNA", at positions 28 to 507 of the family's 1533-position model. The record is from RNAcentral.